AAGAAAGUUAGUCUUCCUAUGAAGAUGUAGGGUUGUCAACCCUGAGAGGUUACCUAUGUAACACUUUCUUU
This 71-nucleotide transfer RNA is filed under the name Nodularia douglasiae. Its description in RNAcentral is "tRNA-Asp". The record is from RNAcentral. Lineage: Eukaryota; Metazoa; Mollusca; Bivalvia; Unionida; Unionidae.